ACAUCCCUUUCCCUCCAUGUAUGCUCAAAACUGCCCUUGGAUGCCAUCAAAGCCCCAGCAUCCACAUCCCCAGGCAUUCACAGCCUGGCACCUACUUGCCCUGGAGAUCAGGAGCACGGCAGUGAAGAGCAGCCCGAAAGUAGGAGCCAGCUUCAUGGUGCCAGUGGCAAGUUCGUCAGGCCCCAUUUGAGGCCCUUUUAUACCUGUGCCAGGUCUCACAGUGGGGCAGGAAAAGGCCUGUGUCUUUCCAUUUGCUGAUUAUCUCCCCCUACCCAUAGAUGUAUGAGGAGCUCCAAUGUGCUGCUACAUCCUCAGGGCUCAGACCAGGACCAACACAAAGUAGAUGCUCUAUAAAUGUCUGUUAGAUGAAUUGAAGGGACAUCCCCAUUGCUCUGGAGUC
This 400-nucleotide long non-coding RNA is filed under the name Homo sapiens (human). RNAcentral describes it as "HSALNT0397500". Lineage: Eukaryota; Metazoa; Chordata; Mammalia; Primates; Hominidae. The record is from RNAcentral.